Molecule: ribosomal RNA, 433 nt
Filed under: uncultured bacterium
Lineage: Bacteria
Description: partial 16S ribosomal RNA
Rfam family: Bacterial small subunit ribosomal RNA
Source: RNAcentral
AACGAACGCUGGCGGCAUGCCUAACACAUGCAAGUCGAACGAGACCUUCGUGUCUUGUGGCGCUCGUGUGCGUAACGCCUGGGAACCUGCCCUUAGGUUCCGAAUCCCUCCCCUAGAGGGGUGCUCAUACCGGUUAAUGUCUUCGCACCAAAGAUUUAUCGCCUUUGGAUGGGCCCGCGUUGGAUUAGCUAGUUGGUAGGGUAAAAGCCUACCAAGGCGACGAUGCAUAGCUGGUCGGAGAGGAUGAUCAGCCACACUGGCACUGAGACACGGCCCAGACUCGGACGGGAGGCAGCAGUGGGGAAUAUUGGACAAGGGGCGAAAGCCUGAUACAGCAAUGCGGCGUGAGUGAUGAAGGCCUUAGGGUUGUAAAGCUCUUUUACCCGGGAUGAUAAUGACAGUACCGGGAGAAUAAGCUCCGGCUAACUCCGUG